GCUUGCACCUGAUUGAUUUUGGUCGCCAACGAGUGGCGGACGGGUGAGUAACACGUAGGUAACCUGCCCAGAAGCGGGGGACAACAUUUGGAAACAGAUGCUAAUACCGCAUAACAGCGUUGUUCGCAUGAACAACGCUUAAAAGAUGGCUUCUCGCUAUCACUUCUGGAUGGACCUGCGGUGCAUUAGCUUGUUGGUGGGGUAACGGCCUACCAAGGCGAUGAUGCAUAGCCGAGUUGAGAGACUGAUCGGCCACAAUGGGACUGAGACACGGCCCAUACUCCUACGGGAGGCAGCAGUAGGGAAUCUUCCACAAUGGGCGCAAGCCUGAUGGAGCAACACCGCGUGAGUGAAGAAGGGUUUCGGCUCGUAAAGCUCUGUUGUUAAAGAAGAACACGUAUGAGAGUAACUGUUCAUACGUUGACGGUAUUUAACCAGAAAGUCACGGCUAACUACGUGCCAGCAGCCGCGGUAAUACGUAGGUGGCAAGCGUUAUCCGGAUUUAUUGGGCGUAAAGAGAGUGCAGGCGGUUUUCUAAGUCUGAUGUGAAAGCCUUCGGCUUAACCGGAGAAGUGCAUCGGAAACUGGAUAACUUGAGUGCAGAAGAGGGUAGUGGAACUCCAUGUGUAGCGGUGGAAUGCGUAGAUAUAUGGAAGAACACCAGUGGCGAAGGCGGCUACCUGGUCUGCAACUGACGCUGAGACUCGAAAGCAUGGGUAGCGAACAGGAUUAGAUACCCUGGUAGUCCAUGCCGUAAACGAUGAGUGCUAGGUGUUGGAGGGUUUCCGCCCUUCAGUGCCGGAGCUAACGCAUUAAGCACUCCGCCUGGGGAGUACGACCGCAAGGUUGAAACUCAAAGGAAUUGACGGGGGCCCGCACAAGCGGUGGAGCAUGUGGUUUAAUUCGAAGCUACGCGAAGAACCUUACCAGGUCUUGACAUCUUGCGCCAACCCUAGAGAUAGGGCGUUUCCUUCGGGAACGCAAUGACAGGUGGUGCAUGGUCGUCGUCAGCUCGUGUCGUGAGAUGUUGGGUUAAGUCCCGCAACGAGCGCAACCCUUGUUACUAGUUGCCAGCAUUAAGUUGGGCACUCUAGUGAGACUGCCGGUGACAAACCGGAGGAAGGUGGGGACGACGUCAGAUCAUCAUGCCCCUUAUGACCUGGGCUACACACGUGCUACAAUGGACGGUACAACGAGUCGCGAACUCGCGAGGGCAAGCAAAUCUCUUAAAACCGUUCUCAGUUCGGACUGCAGGCUGCAACUCGCCUGCACGAAGUCGGAAUCGCUAGUAAUCGCGGAUCAGCAUGCCGCGGUGAAUACGUUCCCGGGCCUUGUACACACCGCC
This 1345-nucleotide ribosomal RNA is filed under the name Lactobacillus sp. 2011_Ileo_VSA_C1. Its description in RNAcentral is "bacterial SSU rRNA". It matches the Rfam family "Bacterial small subunit ribosomal RNA", at positions 66 to 1394 of the family's 1533-position model. Lineage: Bacteria; Bacillati; Bacillota; Bacilli; Lactobacillales; Lactobacillaceae. The record is from RNAcentral.